AUAUUAGAUACUUCGAUUUUCCGGUCGCGCGAGAUUUUUUUUGGUUACCGGAACCGGUAGUAUUCGUGCGGCAGUAUUUAAGCCGAAAGCAGUGGUGAUUUCGUUCCAGUCUGGUUUUGUCUUCAAAAUCAGACACAAAAGGAUAAUCGGAGCCCUUUGUUUGUUCAAGGAUCGGAUAUCAGUUAAUUCUUUGGAUUUAUAUCAGUGCUUUUCUAUCGUCUUCAUGGAGUUCCAGCGUGUUGAGCAUAGGGAUAAUGUGGGCGUGGCAGGCCUUGAUGUCGAUGUUGUUGACAAUAAGUUUCGAAGGCAUAUGACUGAUGUGAAGAACUUUUGCAGGAAGAUUACCCGCAGCUGGCAUCUAGUUGCACCCUACUUGGAUAAAAAAAUUUCUAUCGAUGCUGCUGGCAAAAAGACACUUAUCCAAGUCCCAAGACAGCACUGAACGACCUAGUAUGGUGAAGAAGUUGCGACCUGAAGGUGAUGUUGAGGCUACUGAAAGGCCAGGUAACACAGAACAACACUGUGCUUGUUGUUGCAGAAAAGCGGUUAGUCUUUUAAGGUAAUAACUUUUACAUUUUCUUUUGUAAAUUCAUUUUUAUAGUUUCAAAACAAUUCCUUUUUAGGUGUCUCAACCCUUUUGACAUUUAUUAUAUUUAUUAACAGGGCUUUUUGGCAAGAUGUUGACUGGACCAUGGAUGACACUAAUCUACAAAAUGAAAGAUGAAACAUUUUAAAGAUACCAUUUAUGCAGCUAUUAUAUUUAUUCUCUUGUUUUCUAGAUCUCUCAUGUGAAGGUCUGCAUUGACAAACUAAAGCCACUAAAGGCCAUUGUGGAUUCUCCAGAGAAUCUCCUUUCAAUACUAACUGAUUGCUUUGGCCAGACUCUGGAUACUGAAGAUCUCGUUCUGAAAACCCUGAGAAAUGUGACUGUUGAUGAAGUAUUUAUCGAGAUCACUAAAGAACUUGCUGAAGGUUUUUGUAAGCAAAACAGAUAGGGUACACCCAAACAAUGUUCAUCUUCAAACAAUCAUGCAUGAUCCUCGCAAGCUUUGGAUACUGACGUACAUUUGCAAACGCACUCAGACUGAUGACAUCAAGAAAUCUAUAUUUGUUAUUUACAUUAUAU
Long non-coding RNA from Biomphalaria glabrata, 1126 nucleotides. RefSeq lists it as uncharacterized. The transcript has 3 exons. The record is from RefSeq and is a predicted model, not a curated record. NCBI's taxonomy places the organism in Eukaryota, Metazoa, Mollusca, Gastropoda, Planorbidae.